UACAGAGGUGGCGAGCGUUGCUCGGAAUCACUGGGCUUAAAGGGCGUGCGGGCGGCCCGGCAGGCGUCUUGUGAAAUCCCCCGGCUCAACCGGGGAACGGCUCGACGAACCGCCGGGCUCGAGGGAGGCAGGGGCGACCGGAACUCCGGGUGGAGCGGUGAAAUGCGUAGAUAUCCGGGGGAACGCCGGUGGCGAAAGCGGGUCGCCGGGCCUUACCUGACGCUGAGGCGCGAAAGCCAGGGGAGCGAACGGG
This 253-nucleotide ribosomal RNA is filed under the name uncultured bacterium. RNAcentral's name for it is "partial 16S ribosomal RNA". It matches the Rfam family "Bacterial small subunit ribosomal RNA", at positions 524 to 776 of the family's 1533-position model. The record is from RNAcentral.